GCUUUCACGGGUUAUACAAUUCGCCUUGUAAGCGGUAGGUCGUCAGUUCGAAUCCGACAAGCGGCACCA
RNAcentral lists this transfer RNA (69 nucleotides) under Thiobacillus denitrificans ATCC 25259. Its description in RNAcentral is "tRNA-Und (NNN) (tRNA-Und-NNN-2-1)". Lineage: Bacteria; Pseudomonadati; Pseudomonadota; Betaproteobacteria; Nitrosomonadales; Thiobacillaceae. The record is from RNAcentral.